RNAcentral lists this ribosomal RNA (1375 nucleotides) under uncultured bacterium. RNAcentral's name for it is "bacterial SSU rRNA". It matches the Rfam family "Bacterial small subunit ribosomal RNA", at positions 27 to 1393 of the family's 1533-position model. The record is from RNAcentral.
GAUUGAACGCUGGCGGUAUGCUUAACACAUGCAAGUCGAACGGAAACGAUACUAGCUUGCUAGUAGGCGUCGAGUGGCGGACGGGUGAGUAACGCGUAGGAAUCUGCCUGAUAGUGGGGGAUAGCCCGAAGAAAUUCGGAUUAAUACCGCAUAAUCUAUUCGUAGUAAAGUGGGGGACUUUCGAGCCUCACGCUAUCAGAUGAGCCUGCGUAAGAUUAGCUUGUUGGUAGGGUAAAAGCCUACCAAGGCGACGAUCUUUAGCUGGUCUGAGAGGAUGAUCAGCCACAUCGGGACUGAGACACGGCCCGAACUCCUACGGGAGGCAGCAGUGGGGAAUAUUGGACAAUGGGGGCAACCCUGAUCCAGCAAUACCGCGUGUGUGAAGAAGGCCUGAGGGUUGUAAAGCACUUUCAAUUGUGAAGAAAAGUUAGCGGUUAAUAACCGUUAGCCUUGACGUUAACUUUAGAAGAAGCACCGGCUAACUCCGUGCCAGCAGCCGCGGUAAUACGGAGGGUGCAAGCGUUAAUCGGAAUUACUGGGCGUAAAGCGUGCGUAGGCGGUUUAUUAAGUCAGAUGUGAAAGCCCCGGGCUUAACCUGGGAACUGCAUUUGAAACUGGUCAACUAGAGUAUGGUAGAGGAAAGUGGAAUUUCUGGUGUAGCGGUGAAAUGCGUAGAUAUCAGAAGGAACAUCAAUGGCGAAGGCAGCUUUCUGGACCAAUACUGACGCUGAGGUACGAAAGCGUGGGUAGCAAACAGGAUUAGAUACCCUGGUAGUCCACGCCGUAAACGAUGAUAACUAGCCGUUGGGGGGAUUUACCCUUUAGUGGCGAAGCUAACGCGUUAAGUUAUCCGCCUGGGGAGUACGGCCGCAAGGUUAAAACUCAAAGGAAUUGACGGGGACCCGCACAAGCGGUGGAGCAUGUGGUUUAAUUCGAUGCAACGCGAAGAACCUUACCUGGUCUUGACAUCCUGCGAACUUUCUAGAAAUAGAUUGGUGCCUUCGGGAACGCAGUGACAGGUGCUGCAUGGCUGUCGUCAGCUCGUGUCGUGAGACGUUGGGUUAAGUCCCGUAACGAGCGCAACCCCUAUCCUUAUUUGCCAGCACAUCAUGGUGGGAACUAUAAGGAGACUGCCGGUGAUAAACCGGAGGAAGGCGGGGACGACGUCAAGUCAUCAUGGCCCUUACGACCAGGGCUACACACGUGCUACAAUGGGAAGGACAAAGAGCCGCGAAGCCGCGAGGUGUAGCUAAUCUCAUAAACCUUUUCGUAGUCCGGAUUGGAGUCUGCAACUCGACUCCAUGAAGUCGGAAUCGCUAGUAAUCGUAGAUCAGAAUGCUACGGUGAAUACGUUCCCGGGUCUUGUACACACCGC